GCAAGAUUAAAACUCAAAGGAAUAGACGGGGACCCGCACAAGUGGUGGAGCAUGUGGUUUAAUUCGAAGAUACGCGAAGAACCUUACCUAGCCUUGACAUUGAUAGAAUCUUCCAGAGAUGGAGGAGUGCCUUUCGGGGAACUUGAAAACAGGUGCUGCACGGCUGUCGUCAGCUCGUGUCGUGAGAUGUUGGGUUAAGUCCCGCAACGAGCGCAACCCUCGUCAUUAGUUACUAACAGUUCGGCUGAGGACUCUAAUGAGACUGCCUUCGUAAGGAGGAGGAAGGUGAGGACGACGUCAAGUCAUCAUGGCCCUUACGGCUAGGGCGACACACGUGCUACAAUGGUUAGGACAAUGAGAAGCGAUACCGCGAGGUGGAGCAAAUCUAUAAACCUAAUCUCAGUUCGGAUUGUAGUCUGCAACUCGACUACAUGAAGCUGGAAUCACUAGUAAUCGUAGAUCAGCCAUGCUACGGUGAAUACGUUCCCGGGUCUUGUACUCACCGCCCGUCACACCAUGGGAGUUGAUUUCACCCGAAGCGGGGAAGCUAAACUGGCUACCCUCCACGGUGGGAUUAGCGACUGGGGUGAAGUCGUAACAAGGUA
Molecule: ribosomal RNA, 605 nt
Filed under: uncultured bacterium
Lineage: Bacteria
Description: bacterial SSU rRNA
Rfam family: Bacterial small subunit ribosomal RNA
Source: RNAcentral